GGCUGGUUAGCUCAGUUGGUCAGAGUGUGGUGCCAAGGUUGUAGGUUCAAUCCCUGUACUUGCCA
RNAcentral lists this transfer RNA (65 nucleotides) under Salmo salar (Atlantic salmon). It matches the Rfam family "tRNA". Rfam says of the family: Transfer RNA (tRNA) molecules are approximately 80 nucleotides in length. The record is from Rfam by way of RNAcentral. Lineage: Eukaryota; Metazoa; Chordata; Actinopteri; Salmoniformes; Salmonidae.